GCUGAACAAAUGCCUAGUUUCACUGGGCCCAUGUGAGAACAUCUGAUUAGGAGUUCUCGUCUGAAUAAGGUAUGAAAUUCCCAACCAGCUCUCCAGUGAGAGCUGAAUAUGUGUGAAGAGAGCAGCAAAGUGUGUGCAUCUCCAUCAGAUUUCUGUAGGUAAGCAUUUUCUUGACUUUCAGCUGGUUUUCACAGGUGUGUUAAAGAUAAUAAAGACUUUAAGAUACGAAGCACAUUUUCACAUUCUUGUUUGAAAGAUGGACACAAGUAUUAUGCAGACAAUACUUGAACCAUAUAGCUUGGCUUCUAACCUUUCCUGUCUUUUUGACUGAGUCUUAGUUAUCAUUUUACUAUGACAUAUAUUGAAUAUGCUCAAAUUGAUGUUAGCUUCUAUUGUCACCAAGGAAGGAAAUGUAAAAGCAUGAAUAGUAACACAGGAGGAUUGAGCUGUUGAUUUGUAAUGGUGACUUUGCCUUAGCAUGCACUUUUGUGACGUUGAAGUUCUGUGAGUUUAAUCGCUGUGUGAUAAGAAGAGGCAGCUUGUGAACAGGAUAUUAAACCUUGAUUUCUAUCAUACCAAACAAUUGCUGUAUCUUCAUCACUUCUUAAAACUAACAUCCUUUCCUUUCAGGUUGAUGUGUCCUACUGUAUUAUUUAAGACUUGAUUAUUACAGUUGAAAUUGUUUUGUUGUUUUUUUUUUAGUGCAAAACUGUGUACUUAAAUGACUGUAUUUCAUCCAUCUUCAUUGUGACUCUGAAUCUAACUUUCUGUCUCACAAACUGCUCAGUUGAUGCUUUCCUGGCCAAGUUUCCAUGUAAAUAGGGUGAGCACACAGCUACGUAAUGUGGCACCAAUCCAAUUGCAGGCAGCACAGUGCUUGGGAAGAGCUGUUACCUGGUGUUCAUCGGGAGAAGGAGUCGUCCCCACCUGGGGUCCUGAUGGAGAAGUUGCUGAUCCUCCUCACCUGUAUCAUCUGAGUGGUUUAGAGGACGGUGUUCUACAAUGGCAGUAAACAAAGUCAUUGGUUGCAGACUUCUAUGCCAAUUCAGGUGGCUCUAUUGAAGAUGUAAGGUUGGAGCACCAGUUUCUCAGCAGUGGGAUAUUACCUAGCAGUGAGUUGGCCUUGCUCUGGUGGGUGUCCUGGCGUUCCCCCACAGUGAGCUCUGUUCUGGUUCUGUUGGAGGCUGCCUGGUCUUUCUGCCACGUUUAUAUUCCACUUAAAUGUCUGGCUAUUCAGGAGUGUCUCGUUUGAGUUUGACUUAAACUUUUCCUGCUCCUACCCCUUCCUGCAGAGGCUUUUUUAUAGAUGGCCUGUAGAGCCAUGAAGUUUUUGAGUUGAGCAUUUUCUUAAGCUUAUGGGGCUAACCACAAUUACGGGAGAAUUCUUGAAGAAUUUUUGAAUUCAAUGCUUUUAUUUAAUGUUUAUAAGCAAGUUCAAAGGUGUCAGAUACAAACGUCCCAGUGUGGCACGAGGACAAGACAUGGCGCUGGGGAUUGAGCUGUUUUGUUGCUGGUGCACAGAAAUGUGGCAAUGAACUUUUUCCCUGGUGCUUUAGAGCAUUAAAACAGCUGUUCUGGAUCAGAGCAAAGUGGGCAGCAGCUGUGGCAGUGAUCUGCCCAUGAUUAGUGGGCUCAGGCACUCAUGGAGUCACAGAUGGGCUUUUUGCUCUUAAGGGCACUGUGCUUUUAGGGCUCCUACUUUUGCACCGGUGUGCUUUUUAAAGUGCUAAAAGUUUCCCAGCUGAAAGUCCUCACAGCAUCACACAGCAAAGAGCUCUUGGUUACAGCAUCCAUGCGAAGACAUUGCACGGUCUGCCUGUGUCCCAGUGGGCACAAACAGCACUGAUUGCAUAUUAAAGCCAUUGUCACCAUCACAACCUGGGAGGAGAGCAGAGUGCCAGGACGCUGCAGGACCCUGAAGAUAAUGUCUUAUAAAUAAACAUCUCAAAUUUGUCUGAAGCUGCA
Long non-coding RNA from Phasianus colchicus (ring-necked pheasant), 1965 nucleotides. NCBI's taxonomy places the organism in Eukaryota, Metazoa, Chordata, Aves, Galliformes, Phasianidae. The record is from Ensembl.